CGCUCUAAAUUACUACAAAAACAAAGAAAGCUUGCUCGCACUUCUCUCAGGCAUUAGGAGUGAAGGUAUUAUUCUGUUGGACAUACGAAUUGUUUCUGCAUCUUCUGUAACUUAGAUUUGGAGAUUUUAAUUCUUUUUCAGUAAAAUAUGGAUUUUUUGAUUCCUCUGUUUCUUAAUCCUAAUUAGUAUCAUUCUUGUAGAAGGGCAGAGGAGAUUGAGAGUCAGUCCCAACUAUGAAGACCGCCGUCAUAAUUUCUGGAAAAUCAUUCAACUUUUUUUUAGCUCUCAACAUUAGGCAUUCAUACAUUUGAUUUCAUUCAGACAAUAACAAUUUGAAACUAUUCUUUGCAGCAUUGCUGUGGGCUAACAUAUUAGUCUUCUACGCCUUGUUUGAGAUGCAAGAUUAUCUCACAGAAGUUUGGGGGCUAAGUUUCACUCAUGCUGCCGAAAUCCUCAACAUCUGGAACGGAAUCUCCUUGGUUCUCCAACCCCUCUUCCUCUUCGCCGUCGGCACUUUUCUCGGAAACUUCGGCAUGCUCGUCAUCUCCAGCUCAUCCUACACUCUCGUCAGAGACUCCGGCCUUUUUUUUUUUAUAAAUUUUAAAGAUUGUGUGUGACGGUGAACUCAAAUUUGAGACCUUUAACCUUAAAAAAUCCCUUGACUCAGACUUAUUCUUUUAUAGGGAAUCUGGUUUCUAUUCAUCUUCAUCGCUGCGUGAAUGAUUCUAUUGCUCGGAUCCGGCGGUUGCUUACUGAUGAAUCACAGUUUUUAAUUUGUCGCUGACCGUGUUUUACAUGCGUUCUCUAAUUUUGGAGAUGAAAAAAAUCCAGUUACCUGUAAUAAAAUUGGAUCUUUAUUACUUAUGCUUAACUUUAGCUCUCGGAAGCUGCUGAUAGUGUUAUCCAUGAUUGUGUUGAUUAACUGUUGUUUGUGAUAUUAUUUCAUAAUUUUGCAUUGUACUUAAAUAUAUGCACCAAAAUCCUUUAAGAGAGUGAUAAUUAUCUGUUGUCAGCGACGACUAGGAGACUCCUAUUUUUUCCACAAUAAAUCAGAUGAUUUUAUACUGGGUAGUGGUAAAAAGUAAUGUGAUAAACAGGAAAAUUUAUUUUGUUUAAUUGCUUGAAUACAAAUCUAAUCUUCAGUUGCCCCUAGAAAUUGGUAUUUACGGGCUUUAUUCAGAGAUGAUAAUUGUGUAUGUCUGAUAGAAAUAUGAAAUUCCUAUGUGACCAAAAAUUCUUAUCCGACAAUGAUAUAGUGUCAUGCAAAGAGAUGAUGAUGGCAUGCAUUUUUUUUUUAUAUAAAUUUUAUUUUUAUUUAUAUGAAGUAUUGACAAUAAUAUUAAAAAGUUUUAUUUUUCCGUCGAAAUUCUACAGUCUUAUCAAUGUUAUGUUCAAUGGAAUGCAGGAGCUUGCAAUGACUGUUUUUAGGCUUCCUGUGUUUUUCAAGCAGAGGGACAGCCUGUUCUACGCAGCUUGGGCCUUCACGUUGCCAAUUUGGGUGCUUUGUAUUCCCAUCUCUGUCGUGGAGUCUGCAUUGUGGAUCAUCUUCACCUACUACACCAUUGGAUUUGCACCUUCUCCUGUUAGGUUCUUCAAACAACUGUUGGCCUUCACUGGGGUGCAUCAGAUGCCUCUCUCCCUCUUCCGUUUCAUUGCUGCAGUAGGAAAAACUCAAGUCGUUGGUAUUUGUGUUGGGAGGCUUUGUUGUUGCAAAGGAUUGGAUGAUAUGGGGUUACUACAUCUCUCCUAUGAUGUACGGACAGAAUGCAAUCGCCAUUAAUGAGUUCCUCUCUGAUAGAUGGAAUGCAACUGCGCCUGCUAAUUCAUCUGAGUCAACUGUAGGCAAAACCUUUCUCAAGGACAGAGGUUUGUUCACAACAGAGUCGUGGUACUGGAUCUGCAUCAUAGCUCUCUUUACCUUCUCUCUGCUGUUCAACGUUCUCUUCGUUGCUGCAUUGACAUACUUGAACCCUCUGGCUGAUAUAUCACAAGGCCAUCAUAAGCGAUGAAAACGAGGAGAGCAAGAACAAAAAACUGUGACAAAUUUGGGUUUUCUAUCUUUAGACCGAUUACGAGCCUGAACAAAAAAUUCGAACCCUCGAAUGUGGACAUGAAUACCACAAUGAGUGCAUAAAGAAGUGGUUGCUGAUGAAGAAUAGUUGCCCUGUGUGCAAAUCCCCAGCCCUGAGAGUCGAUUGAUGUUGGCCGAAAAGUUUGAACCUCUUGGUAAUUAUUCUAUAAUCAAGAGUACUUGAUUCAUGUAUUAUAUUUUUGUAUAUACAUGCAAAAAUAUUACUGCCUCCCAAAAUGUAUAGACCCAUUUGUUUGUGGUGCUUAUCAUGAAACAUGGAGUAGUAUUUAAUUUCCUACUUGAA
This is a long non-coding RNA of Salvia miltiorrhiza (redroot sage), 2375 nucleotides long. RefSeq lists it as uncharacterized. The record is from RefSeq and is a predicted model, not a curated record. The transcript is spliced from 4 exons. NCBI's taxonomy places the organism in Eukaryota, Viridiplantae, Streptophyta, Magnoliopsida, Lamiales, Lamiaceae.